Molecule: ribosomal RNA, 622 nt
Filed under: uncultured bacterium
Lineage: Bacteria
Description: bacterial SSU rRNA
Rfam family: Bacterial small subunit ribosomal RNA
Source: RNAcentral
GAGAAUGCAAGUCGAACGAACGAACUCGGGCUUGCCCGGGCAAGUGAGUGGCGGACGGCUGAGUAACGCGUGGGUGACCUGCCCAGAAGUGGGGAAUAACUACCCGAAAGGGUUGCUAAUACCGCAUGUGGCCACACGUUCAUUCGUGUGACUAAAGCCGCAAGGCGCUUCUGGAGGGGCCUGCGUUCGAUUAGCUCGUUGGUGAGGUAACGGCUCACCAAGGCGACGAUCGAUAGGUGGUCUGAGAGGACGAUCACCCAGACUGGGACUGAGACACGGCCCAGACUCCUACGGGAGGCAGCAGUCGGGAAUUUUGCUCAAUGGGCGAAAGCCUGAAGCAGCAACGCCGCGUGAGGGAUGAAUGCCUUCGGGUUGUAAACCUCUUUUCUCAGGGACGAUAAUGACGGUACCUGAGGAAUAAGCCACGGCUAACUACGUGCCAGCAGCCGCGGUAAUACGUAGGUGGCGAGCGUUGUCCGGAUUUACUGGGCGUAAAGAGUGCGCAGGCGGCCGAGUAAGUCGAAUGUGAAAGCCCCCGGCUCAACUGGGGAGAGUCAUUCGAUACUGCACGGCUUGAAGGUAGGAGAGGGAAGCGGAAUUCCCGGUGUAGCGGUGAAAUGCG